RNAcentral lists this ribosomal RNA (252 nucleotides) under uncultured bacterium. RNAcentral's name for it is "partial 16S ribosomal RNA". It matches the Rfam family "Bacterial small subunit ribosomal RNA", at positions 525 to 776 of the family's 1533-position model. The record is from RNAcentral.
ACGGAGGGUGCAAGCGUUAUCCGGAUUCACUGGGUUUAAAGGGUGCGUAGGUGGGCAGGUAAGUCAGUGGUGAAAUCUCCGGGCUUAACCCGGAAACUGCCAUUGAUACUAUUUGUCUUGAAUACCGUGGAGGUCAGCGGAAUAUGUCAUGUAGCGGUGAAAUGCUUAGAUAUGACAUAGAACACCAAUUGCGAAGGCAGCUGGCUACACGAAUAUUGACACUGAUGCACGAAAGCGUGGGGAUCAAACAGG